CCCCGGACUCCUCCCUGCCCUCUCCGGCUUCCCUGCCUCACAGGCUCCUCGCGUUCCCAGAGGGCUCCUUCCUGGGCCUGCCUGUGCCCCCCUUCUCCCGGCUCUCCUGUCCCCGGCCAGCUGCCGCAGAAAAUUUUCUGGAACUUGAGAAUCAUGGUAACACAGAAGUGGAGUGGCAUCCGUCAGUCAUCUCUAGCUCCACCUUAUGUCAAGGGUCUUUGAGGAGAAGGCAGUCCUUCCGCAUCAUGAGCUCCAUCCUAAAGAUGACUGUAGCCAGAGAGGAGAGGCUGCCGAUGGAGAGAGGAAUCAGUGGGAGGUCUUGUUUUUUGGUGUUGGAAGGCAACGUUAGGUGGAAUUUGCAGAGUCCAUGGUAUUACAGUGCCCAGUGGUUCCAGGUCUCCAUCACAUUUUUGCCCAGAGAUAGAGGAGAUUGUGCUCAGUUUUGGGGUAUUGAGUGUCACCCCCUUAAGGAGCCUCACAGGAAACAUAUCUCUGAGAUUUCAACUGUCUGGGCAAUGUCAAAGCAGAAAAUGAGCCUGAAAGUUCAAAAAUUUCCACAAACCUCCUCAUUAAACUGGACAAUUUAGUUAAGCCCCGAAGACAAGGUGUAUCAGACACUGCUCUCAUACCCAGGUCAUCCAUGUGCAUGGUAUAGAAUAGAAAAGGGUUAGAGGAAAUACAUCUGCUCACCUCUCUCCACCAACCAGGGGAUGCCUCUCAGAAGCAAAUGAGUG
RNAcentral lists this long non-coding RNA (734 nucleotides) under Vulpes vulpes (red fox). RNAcentral's name for it is "lncRNA (ENSVVUG00000014506.1)". Lineage: Eukaryota; Metazoa; Chordata; Mammalia; Carnivora; Canidae. The record is from RNAcentral.